This 207-nucleotide long non-coding RNA is filed under the name Malus domestica (apple). RNAcentral's name for it is "long non-coding RNA (MDOM_LNC012733)". Lineage: Eukaryota; Viridiplantae; Streptophyta; Magnoliopsida; Rosales; Rosaceae. The record is from RNAcentral.
AUGUGGACCGUUGGAUUAACCAACGGUCCAAUUACCACCACCACCCGAUGAAGAAAAGUAGUCGUUGGCUACAGGACAAGGCCCACUUUUCACUCUCAUCCGUGGGUCCCAGCAGCUUUUGUGGGCUAAAUUUGUGACCUAUAUUUACCUUCAUUUUAAGUUUUAGGUUUUAGGUUUGGUUUAGGUUUUGGGUUGGAGUGGAUUUGG